Dicentrarchus labrax (European seabass) is the source of this 1096-nucleotide long non-coding RNA. RefSeq lists it as uncharacterized. The record is from RefSeq and is a predicted model, not a curated record. The transcript is spliced from 3 exons. Lineage: Eukaryota; Metazoa; Chordata; Actinopteri; Moronidae.
UGUACAGAGGUAAUACUGAAACGACAAAAAGCAGUGAACUGCUGCCACAAUGAGGAAUGAUUUUAUUUAUUGGGAUGCCAUUAAUGAACAAUUUUUAGUAAUUAAACAUUAUACCAGUAUUUUCUAUAAUACAAACAAGUUUUAGCUUUAUGCCACAAUUGACAUGCCAGACUCUGAACAAUGGACUGUCUGAUACUGUAAAGCUACCAAAUGGUUGCACACCCCAACUGGAUCUGACACAGAAAGUCAUCUGAAAUACAUACAAAUAAAAAAUGUAGGUUAUAUAAAAUGCUACUUUGCACACAAGGUACAUAUAUCUCAUAAUUUAAAACAGGUACAGUGUAAUAAAUUUGCUGAUUAUAACAGUUUUGUAAAACGACAAAUAUUCAUGGGACAGGAUGAAUGAUUAGUUUUUAUGCAUCUGUCUGUGAUAAUUUUUGUAAUAUUACGUAAAUGAAAGAAGGCAGUCCUAGAGGUCUGCUUCAUGUGGGGAUUAAAUGACAAAUCCUGAUCAAAGAUAACUCCAAGAUUCCUGACAGUGGUGCUAGAGGCCAAGGUAAUGCCAUCUAGAGUAACUAUAUCUUUAGACAGUGAGUCUCUAAGGUUUUUGGGGCCAAAAACCUUAGAGACUCACUGUCUAAAGAUAUAGUUACUCUAGAUGGCAUUACCUUGGCCUCUAGCACCACUGUCAGGAAUCUUUGAUCAGGACAUGUCAUUUAAUUCCCACAUAAAGUAAACCUCUAGGACUGCCUUCUUUCAUUUACGUAAUAUUACAAAAAUUAGACACAUACUAUCACAGACUAAAAAAAAAUUAGAAAAACUAAUCCAUGCAUUUGUUACUUCUAGGCUGGAUUACUGCAACUCUUUAUUAUCAGGCUGCCCCAAUAAGUCCAUUAAGACACUACAAUUAAUUCAGAGCGCUGCAGCACGAGUACUGACGGGAACUAGGAAAAGAGAUCAUAUCUGGUACUGUUGGGUGACUGUAAAUAAUGUUAUAAGGAGUUCGGUCUAGUUGAAAAAGUAGUAAUAGUUGUUCUAUUUGAAAAGUGUUUUGAGAUAACUUCUGUUAUGAAUUGACGCUAUACAAAUACAAUUA